GGCGGGUUCAUCUAAAGGUUAGGAUAUGAGACCUUCAAUCUCAUCAUAUCGGGUUCGAAUCCCAUACCCGUCACCA
RNAcentral lists this transfer RNA (76 nucleotides) under Clostridiales bacterium. Its description in RNAcentral is "tRNA-Glu". It matches the Rfam family "tRNA". Rfam says of the family: Transfer RNA (tRNA) molecules are approximately 80 nucleotides in length. The record is from RNAcentral. Lineage: Bacteria; Bacillati; Bacillota; Clostridia; Eubacteriales.